AGAACUUGAACCGUUGAUGCCUUAUCUAUACUCUGCAACGUCACAACUACCCACUUUGGCACCGUAGGCGACUUGAUCUCUAUAUAUCAUGCCAAAUCAGAAGCAAGAACUCGCUCAAGUACUUAUUUUUUAAUAUAGUGCACUCGAAGCUAGCAAAGAUCUUUUCUGACUUGAAGAAUAUGAAAACUCUUGCUGGCGCAGGUAUUUAGGCCUACUUCAGUUUCUUUUUUGAGAAGGGCCAACUUCAGUUGAAUAUCAUUUAUAAUUCUUUUUUUAAUAUAUGCAUUUAUGAAUAUAUUUUUCAAUAUAAAAUUUUUAGGUAUGAGCGAUCCGUCAGAAGGUUUGGUACUCCCUUCUAGUAUUGCUGAUGAUGAUGUUGGAAAUGACAAUCUUGAUCUUAUUGUUAUUCCUCAAUAUGGGAGAAAUCCUGAUUAUUAUGGGUAAGUGUCUGCAAUCUGGAUGAUGAUAUAUGUAAUUAAAUAAAAGGAUGGGUACAGUUAUUACCUAUCAAUCAUAAGAGUGUCAAUUUAGUUCAGUUCACUAAUAAAAAUCUCUUAUACAAGAGAUUAUCUUUGUUUGCGUUCAUGUACUUUGUCUUCUUUAAUUAAUAAAUAAAAUUAUUGUGUAUCAAUGUGUUGAUUAAAUUAGUCCAUUAAUAGAUAUAAAAUCAUUUGAAUUUGUCCACAUAUUAGUUUAGUUAAUUGUGCUCUCUUUCUUCUUGAAUAUUUGUCAAACAAAGUCUACCUAUUAGUUAGCUAAUAAUCGCAGCUCGCAGGGAACCAAGAUCUUUAUAAUUAAUUACGAACGUUUAUGCUUCUUAAAUGGCUUGUGUCAUCGUGAUAAUGCCAUUACAACCUGUUAUAUAUAUAUAUAUAUAUAUAUAUAUUCAAAAGCAUUCCAACUCUAUGAACCUUCUAUUACACAAUUUUCAAAUGGUAUAAACAUCUAUUUUAAUUAGAGUAAAAUGUUGCUUGUUAGAAUGGCCCGUGAGUCAAUCUAAUUUGCGCUGGGACAAAUUAAUAGAACUUUAAAACUUUUCGACGGGUUUUGAUAAGACUUUAACUUGUCAAACCGUGGGUUGCUGUACGACGGGACUUGAAAAAAAACAUGUUGAGUUCUUUAUAAUUAAUGUUUAAAAUAUUUCAUUAAUUUUAGAGAAUAUUAAAAUAAAAAAUAAGUAAAUUCACGUUGAUCGAGAAAAAUACUGAAAUAUCGAUGCGUGUUUAGGACGAUAUAGAGGAUCUAUUUGAUCACAUUUAAUUCGCAUGCAACAGUAAUUCUGUCACAUUCUAUCACAGAUUCACGAAAGCUUCUCAUCAAAGUAUAGAAACAGAAAACUGUAAAAUUUAACGGGGGAAAACCUAUUAAACAAGAAAACAAAGCAGCCCCUCCGUACUGUGAAAUUACUUGCAAGCCAGUUGCGGUUGAGUUUGGGAAUGAGGGGCUGAGUUUGAGAUAAAUGGAGGGGAGAUAAGUUUGACUAAAAGGGGAUUCACAGGAAGACUUUAAGGGAGAAGAGACGAGUUUGAGAAAAAUUAGGAUAGAGAUUUAGAGGAGAUGAUUUGGGGUCUCAAAUUAACUAAUCCAUUCUUACAAUCACACAAACCGAUGGAAACCCAUUCAGAUUUUGAAAUAAUGAUGGUGACAUUAGUAGCUUAAGCCAAAACAUAAUUUAAAAAUAACAUAUAUAUAUAUAUAUAUAUAUAUAUAUAUAUAUAUAUAUAGUCAUUCUCUAGUGUAGGUAUCUUCAUUUAUUUUUCAUGCGAACACAUUUUAAAACCGCGGAGUUUAAGAGAGUUAGUUUUUAACUCUUUAAAACCGCAUAGUUUAAAAGUUUAUCCGUAUUAAAAAAAAUACGGGCGUCCGCACCUGAGAAUGAUUUUAUAUACACACACGUAUAAAGUAAUUUUUUAAUUGUGAAUUAUCAACCAUAUUAAAGUCAAGAGAAAGUUUAUAAAAAAAACCACCGACGCUAAUACAACGUAUUUUGUUGUGUAAUGUUUUGAAAUAUUCCUGCAAAUAAAUGGAUACUGAAAAUGAUCAUAUUAUUUUUAGUGAUUAAUGAUUCUUAUCGAGUAGAUUCCUGAUCUAUGAAAUGACUUACAUGAGCAUAUUCACCCUUUGGGAGUGGGAAACAAGUAAAAUUAUGUGUGCUAGAGGAGCCAAUAUCGAAGAGUUUAAGUCUAUGCUUCUCGUAAUCAAUUUCCAUAUCAAAACAAAAUGGAGUUGAUGAUAAUCUUGAUUUUACUAAAAAAAAAAAGGAAUAAUAGAUGUCUCAUUAGAAAAUAUUAAUGUGCCAUAUAUAUAAUAGUUCAAUCAUGUAAAAAUACUUGAAAAAUUAAUCUUGAGAAUGCAAAAUAAGAACUAUAGCAAGCACCUCUACAGGCAUAAAUUAAAAGAAUUGCAACGUGUACAUGAAGACUGCUAGACAUAGAAAAAAGUGAUAAAAAAAAAAACUGAUAUAUGAUAAAGAGCAUAAUAGAGAUAGUUGUUAUUAGGGAUGGUAAAAUUCUCCAUGGGUUGGGGUUCUCUAGGGCUCCAUGAUACAAACUCUUAAAAUAAUUAAAAUUAUUUAUUUUAUUUUAUGGUAUUAGUUAAUUUUGAACUAGUCAAAAGUAGUUGCACUUAUUUUGUGGAAUUACAUGUAAGUAAUGGAGCAUUAUGUGAAAACAAGCCCAAUGUUACUAAUUUUUAGGUUGUAAUCUUAAAUAAGCUUUAUUAUAUAAAGCUUGAUGUUAGUCAAUGAAAAGUAUCAUGAGUUAAUUAUUUGGCAACAUAAAAGUUGUAAUUGGGAGUUUAUUGGUUUCUCGAAUAACUAGUAUUUAUUUGGAGAUUUGGGUUUCUUCAAAUUAAUCCCAUUUGUCAUCUAAUUUUUUCUGUUUCAUUUGAUUUCUCCUUAUAAACAGUAGCAUUCGUAUCAUUCCACCCCAAAUGGGGUGAAUUUUGAAUAAUUUUUGGAGAAUGAGGUGGGGAAUUAGAGAAAAAUAAUCUCCAAAUUCUUAAUAAUAUGGGGUUUGAUUUUGUACUUCCCACUCCACAGUCCACACCCACUCCAGUCCCCAUUACAUAUAAAUAUUUUUUAAUUUUUAUUUAAUAAAUUUUUUAUCAAUUACAAUGUCAAUUAAUAAUUUUUUUUAUUUUCACUUGAUAUAAAUGAGUUAUGACUAAAAGAAAACCCUAUAAUAUAAUUUUUAUUCAACCCUAAAACAUUGUUAUAUUUUCUUUUCUAUCUUAAAAUACCACUCUCUUCAAACAUUUUUCAAUUUUGAUAUUAUUUUAAGAUAUUGUUUCAGACAUUUGGAGAUUUUUUUAAAUAAUUUGAAUACUUCAUAAUAUAGUAAUGAUUUUAUUGAACUCUUUAAUUUUUAAUUUAUUGAAAUCAUAUAUCUAUAUCUACUAUAAAAUAAAAAUAAAUGGGGAAUGAGGAGGGAUGGGGAUGGGGAUGAGGAAAUCAUUUCUCAUGUGGGGAUUCCUUAUACCCACCCCACUAAAUUCAUUGAGAAAUGAAGUGGGAAUUAGAGGCAAAAUUUUUAACACGGUGGGGAAUGGGAUAGCCUUCCUACCCCCACCCCACCCCAUUGCCAUCUCUAGUUGUUAGAUGGUGGAUAAUUUUACAUAAAUUAAUUGUAUUAAACUUAUUAUCCGAAUAAAAUUGUUUUAAAUAAAAUUUUAAUAAAUGAAAUUUUGGAAAUAUGUAAUAUUAUUUUUAAUAAUAGUGAUACACAAACUCGUCAAAAUUAAUUUGUCAAUCAUCUGUAAAUUUUACCAACUCUAUAGUUCAAUUAACAUUUUUCUAAACCUCAUUUUAUAUUUAUCGCUUUUGAAGAUUAAAAUAUCAUGAUUUAUUAUGUCCAUAUAAGUAAUUUGAUAACCUCAUUUCAGUAUAUCAGAAUAUCAAGAUUUAUUAGGUCUUUACUUGCGCUUUUGGCUGCAAGAGCCUUCGCCAAUUGAUCAUUUUAUGGGGUUUGACAUAGCCACAAAAUUAAGAUAAAGGUUCAAAGACAGUAUUACAGGUUCAUCCACCAUAAAACAAAUGAUAUUUUGAAAAGAAAAUUAAGACCCUAUUAGUUAAUUUGUCUCGUAAUUAAUUAUUGUCGACAAGCCAUCACAAACUUUCUUCAAUUAUUCCUACUUUUCUAAAAAAAUCUUUAAUGAUAAAAUUAUUUGCACUCUAAAAAUUAUUCUUUAACAUUAUUUUAAUAAAUUAUUUUAUGAGUGAUGAUACAGCCACAAACUCUUGUACAAACUUAUUUCGUACAAACUGAUGUGGCAUCAAUUCAUUGGUUGAAUGAAAAUACAAAAUAAUGAAAAUAAAUCAUGUGGGCCAAGAGAUAUUUAAUUUAACCAAUUUUAUCAUGCCACAUCAGUUUGUACAAAAUAAGUUUGUACAAGAAUUUGUGGCUAUAUCAUUACUCUUAUUUUAUUACAAAAAUACUCAUCAUAUGAAUUAUUGACAAGGAUUCUCUCUUAUAGGCUAAUAUAAUAUAAUUAUUCUGAAUACUCAUAUGGCAUACUCACUAUUCAAUAUAUAAUUUCUCUUGUCAUAAAUCCUAAAAAUCUUAUUUUCAAUCUCUUGAAUAAUGUUUAAUUAAACAAGGAGCAAAUCAAUACUAAAAAUACAUUUUGAACAUAUUUUUGCUUGUUAAUUUUUUUUAAAAAGUAGUUUUUUUAAAUAAGCAUUUAAUUCAGAAGAUGCAUGCUUGGAGUUAUGAUUUUGGAUGUAGAGAAGAUUUGAUCGGAAACGAGAAAUGGCGGCAGCAAGCUUAUUGAAUCGUCGUUCUGCGAAGAAGAGUUUGCUUUUUGCUGUUUCUAGUGGAAUGUCACUUAAUAAUCAAAACAGGCUUCUUCUUCUUUCUUUUUUAAAACCUAUAGCUUUAUGGUUUAUGCUUAGUAACAAAAAAAGAGUCAAAUAUCAGUGGUCUCUAUAACUAACAGUGAGCAAGAUUCGAUUUUGAAAAAUCUUGUACCAAUUUGCUUUUGUGCUAUUUUAUAUUCAAUUGACGAAAGAAUUAAUGCUGUAACUGCUACCCUUGUGUCGAUGACUACAUUAAUAAUGCCCCCAAAUUAAAGCCCACAUAAAAUUAAAUAGUAUACUCUAGCAAAUUAAAUUAAGUCAUAUUGUAAGGUAUCAAGAAUUAAAUAUUCUAUUAGCAAAGUCAAAACGUGAAAUCUAUCCAAACCAAGCCCACCGGUUUGUCCAUGAAAAUUAAUUAUUUCUUCAUUAUUAUCGAAUUAAUAUCUUCACUUGAUAACAUGGUUUACGAGGUAGGUCGCACAUUAAUUAUAUGAUUACUUCAUAGUUAUCCAAUAUCUUCGUACACCUUUUAUGACUAACCUAUUGGUCUAUCCAAAUUAAUAGUCACUUAAUUUAUUGUGGUCCAAUAUCAUCACUUGAUAAGAUUAAAGCAUAUAUACCCACAGCCCCCUAUAUGCCUCUUAAUUAUAUAUCAUGACUUUGUCCAGCAAGAGAGAAAGAGAGAAAGGGUAGGACUCUUUUCGAGCUUUUACAAAUCUACGGUAGAAUAAGAUGAUUUAAGUAAAAAUAAUUUAAAAAAAAAAAACCAAAUACCAAAAUUAACUUUCAAAAUUUUAAAAUUAUUUUCUGCCAUCUCAAAAACAGUGUCAAAUGAAACCUUUUAUCCAACUAAAAAAAAAUAGUGAAAAGUAGUGGGAAUUUUAUUAACCGCACAAAUCAUAAGUCAAAAAAUAUGAACAAAAUAGUUUGUUCUUCGGAACUCUAAUAAAUUGGAGGCAUGUGCUGCCCGAAACCAAAUGAUGCAUCAAGAUUUGUUCUUUGAAAAAUAAAUUAAUUUGUUAGUAGAUAGUUGCGUGUUUUACUUUCAAAAAAGGCUAAAAUAAUUUCAGGCCUUGGAUGCAUCUAACGGCUGAAAUCAUAAUAUCAAGAUUUAUUCUUAAGUCUUUGUUUGAUAUCAAGAUUUUUGAUUCAACCGCACAAUUAAGUUAAAGUUUCGUAUGCAGACUAUUAGGGAUUCAUCCAGGUAUGCAACAAACAGAUGAAAUGAUAUUUUGAAAAGAAAAUUAAUUUGUCUUGUAAUUAAUUAUUGCCGGCAAACUUUAUCUCAAAUCGCACACUUCUUUUCAAAUAUUAUCUACUUUUCUAGACUCUACGAUUACUGUCUACAUUUUUCAAUGAAUUAUUGCUCGGUAACUAGUUUUUUUACAAUCAUUUUUUUCGCGGACCAGAUCGUGUUUCGCACUAAUUGCAAUCAUUUAACCAUAUAUGGCCGUUAAUCGUACCCAGCCAUUGCGCGAAAAAACAUCAGCCGUUGAUCGUUUAUCUGUACAAUUUUUUAAUAUUUAUAAUAUUUUACUUAUAAAUCAUGAUUUUCCUUAAAGUUGUGGAUUCCUCCACUGAAUAGAAAUGGUUGUGAUUUAUUUGUCAAUUCAAAAGUUCCAACAGUAUUUCAAUGUUGUGCAUUUUCAGCUAAUUAGUCAAAGAUAAUCUAGUGCAUCUUCAGAAUUUUUAUCCCUAAAUUUACCAUUACACAUUAUUUCAACAACCUAUCUACUUUAGGGUAUCAAGCUCUUGUAGAAAUAAAUGACCAAUCACCAAGUUUCAAAACCAUGGUGUGGACAUAUGUUAAGCAAUUCUUUAAACCCAUCCCAACAUUGGUAUAAUGUUUCUCCAUUUUUUUUAGUGAAAUAAGUGAUUUGCCUUUUAAAAGAAUUGGUUCUAUGAGGUGGAAAGAAUUUUUUCAAAAAUUAUUCUUACAUGUUAUUCGAAGUUCUUAUUGAUUCAGAUCUAAAGUUUUAUAGCCAAGUUUUAGCUUUAUUUUUUAAUGAAAAAAGAAAAAGUUUCAACCUAACUAUGUUCAUGCUACAAUUUUGGUUUAUAUAUGUAUUACAAACUUCCUCAAAGAUGCAAGUAUGGAUUCUCAGAUUCUAAACCAUGAAAUGUUGGUAAAAGUUGGAUAAUACAUGGUUUAAAGUUGAAUCGAGAAGCCUCUGGAGGUAGGGGUGGCAAAUAUACCCGCCCAGUCUGGAUCCGGACCGUACUCGGGCGUUUUGGGCAUCACUUGAUAAACCCAGAACCCGGAUUUUAUUUCAAAAAAUUAUUAGAAAAUAUAUAUUAUUUUAAAUAUUUAUAUUUAUUUGACUCAUUUAUUACACAUAUAUAAAGUUUUAAACACUUAAAGUUCAUAAUUUCAUGUCAAAUUUUAUUAAAAAUAAAUUUAAAACUUAUAAAAUUACCAAAAAAAUACACAUAUAAUAUUAAAAAAAUAUAAAAUUCGGGUACCCGGAUUAAAGCCCAGCACAACCCGGCCCGGGCAUCUAUGCAUCCGGGUCGGGUCCGGUCAUUGCGAUACCCGGACCCGGGCCAGGGUUUUGCCAACCCUAUCUGGAGGAAAUACUAUACAGCUCCGAUUCUAGUUGGAUUCAUGUAGUCUCUCAAGAUUCUUCGUCGAUUCUGAUCACGUCCAGGUUGAGACUGAUUGUCUCCCUGAUAAAUUUGAGGAUUAGGUUCGCCCAAAAGUUUUUCAUCUUGGAUUUCGUCCAUAAUUAGUGAUGGAGAUUGAGAUCUACGAAUUAACCUGCCACCUGAAGUUCGAGACCAAUGUGUCAUGAAAUGGUUAUAUCACAAAGGUAAUAUUCAAAUAAAUUAGUAACAAAAGAACUAAAUGAAAAUUGCACAAAACAAAAAUAAAAAUUAAAUAUGCAAAUAAUAAGAGGAUGAAUACCCCGAAAUCUGGGUUGUGACUUUUGAUCAUUGUCGCAGCAUGAAGUUUGUUGUGACCUCUAGUUCACAUGCACUCUGUUUUUGUAGUUGCCGCAUGUCAAUGUUAUUGUAGUUCCCUUUUUAGGCUAUAUCUUGUCUAGUUGUCUUUGUGCUCGAAAGUGUGAACUUAGUCAGCGUCGAUAAAUGGAGUGCUUUUGCAUGUUACUUUUUAAUGAAUGGUGGAAACAAUAAUUCAUAAGCAUCUUAGCAUAACAUUUUCGCUCAAUUAAUGCAUAUCAAUAGCGGUUUACUCAUGCUCUGUAUGUGACGCAUUUCUAGGAAGCUUAUAUAUGGAGUUCAUUCGUUUCUGAGGUAUGCUAGAUUUGCAUGGGAAAAAUGAUAAUUUUGACCUGUUUAUUGUCCCUCAAUAUGGGAGAAAUCCUGACCAUACUGGUUAGGUACAUGUAAUAUUUGUUUAUUGCCCUUUAAUAUGGGAGAAAUCCUGACCAUACUGGUUAGGUACAUGCAAUAUUAAUCUUUCGUUUUAUGUUUAAUUAAAUAAAAGGAUAGGUAAUGUUAUUACUUAUGAAUCAUGUCAGUGCCAUUUUGGUUCAGUUCAACUAUUAAUAUCUCUUAGAAUGUUAAAGAAAUUAUCACUGUUAGUGUCCAUGUACUUCGUCUUUUUUAAUAAAUAAAAUUAUCACGUGUCAAUGUGUUAUUUGUUUUGAUCUUUCAACAAAAUUCAGUUUAAUUAAUUAUGCCCUCUUUCAUCACGAAUGUGUGUGUGUAUAUAUUUGAAAAAACUAAAACAAUGAGGGGCACUAUAACUUUUUAUUUGCCAAACAUGGGAUUGUGUAAAAUUAAUACAAUGAGAGGCUUUAAUACAACAACCAAACAAGCUCUUAAGGGAAAAGGACACACACCCCCAUGCCUAAUAUUUAAUAAAGCGACAGAUAUAUUUGUUAAUUUAUAAAGUUUAUUAACUAAUAAAUGCCAAAUAUACUAAUUUUUAUUGUAGUAUAAGCCCAAGUUCAUGGUAGAGAAAACAGGCCUAGGCCCUUUGUAGGAUUGUCCAAGUUGGAACAGGUCGAACUUAAGACUUUUUUAACAAUUCAAUAAAAUAAAACAAUAGCUAAAAGGUAAAAACAACUUAAGUUAAAGAGGAUUUUAUUAAUUUUUUCUCUGUUCAACUAAUUAUACAACAAUAUUUAUUUAAAAAAAAUUGAAAUAGCCUCCAACAAAAAAAAUGAAUUUUACAAAAAUUUACAGCCUACAAAAUGUAGGUUCAAUUGUUCAACAUAGCAUUACUAUAACAAUAAUAAUAAUAAAAGACAUAAUUAGCAUCAGAUUCCAAAUCCAAUAAUCCAAUUUCCAUAAACACUAUCACACUAACAUUUUUUUUCUUUCUUAUUUUUCCAUUCCAUUUUUUUCAAACUUAAUUCGUAAAUUAAAUUUAAUUAUUUAAAGAAAGAAUACGUUUGAGAUUUGAUGCACAAAACAUAUAUAAAUUAUUCAUAAUUUCAAUAUUAGGAAAUAAAUGUUUAGGGGGAUUGAAUUGAUGUCCAAAAUUCAAAUGGCCUAAAUAUGACCCCUUUAUAUAUAUAUAUAUAUAUAUACAGUUAUAGAAUAAUUUUUCAAUGCUGAAUCAUUGACUAUAAAGUCAAGACAAGGUAAAAAAAAAAAAUCAACGUUAAUACAACGUAUAUUGUCGUAUAAUGUUUUGAAAAAUUCCUACAAAUAUAUGGAAACUGAAAAUGACCAUAUUAUUUCUGGCGAUUAAUGAUUCUUGUGGAGUAGAUCCCUGAUCUAUGAAAUGACUUACAUGAGCAUAUUCACCCUUUGGGAGUGGGAAACAAGUAAAAGUAUGUGUGCUAGAGGAGACAACAUUGGGGAGUUAAGUCUGUGCUUCUCGUAAUCAAUUUCCAUAUCUAAAGAAAAUGGAGUUUAUAAUCUUGCUUUUACUAACCUCGUUAACUACUUUGUGAACAAGUUUUUGAUAGACAAAUCUCAAACAUCCAGUGUUUGAUUUUAAGGCCUUUAAGUUUAUGUACUUUCCAUAUUAGGAUCAAUGUCAGAUCUUUAACAACUUUUUUAGAUUUGUAAGUACCUUGGUAUCUUUAGGCCUUCAAUUAUUAAUUUCAGCAAAAAGGUUGAGAAGGAGGAAUUUCUUGAAGAUACGGAGCUUUAUCGUGAUCCUACCACUACACUUCACUAGUAAUAUACUCUCUAAGAUUCUUUUAUUGACAUUGUUUGUUCAAUCCCUUCUUAACCUUCUAGGAUACGACUUUCCUCUUAUUAUACUAUUAAAACAUUUAAUCCUUGAUAUAAAAACAUUUUUAUAGGCCCGAAGUCAGUCCUACAUCAAAAUGCAGAUCUUCAGAAAUAAAUGUAAACCUCUGUUGUUUCAAAAAUUUAAUUCAUGUUAUUUUUCUUUUAAAUUUAUGGUGAUUUGCAGUUCAAGAGUAGUCGUUGGCAUUGUUAUGAUACUAUGAUAGCAGUGCAUGCAGCAAAAGAAAAACAAGUAGCCGGGUAACUAAGCUCCUUGAUUAGUUAUUUUAUUUUUUGUUUGCCUCUAGUCUAACUACAAUUGCCAAUUGUAUGCCCCAAAAUGGUUGCAAUGGUUACAUCUCGAGGGGAGACUUUCGUAGUGAACUUCAACAUUGAAUCCAUAAUCAGAUAGUUCGACUGUAAAGAUUUCCAGCAAAUCACCAUGAAAAUCCACCUUUAUUAAAAUCUUGGCAAAAUGGCCAUACUUUUUCUCUCUUAUUGCCUGAUGAAUUUGCAAAGAAAUGCCAACUUCUCUAGCCACCGUCAUCAGAAUUCUAGGAUGCCAGUACUCCACUCUGGGAUCAUAUGUUCUUAAGGACGUGACUGGAUAGUUGGCUCACAAAGGUUGAAAUUCCAUCACCAUUUGUAUAAGCGAAAGAACCCCUGAGGUAGUUUAUAAUAUUGGGGCAAGAGAAAACAUUUGGUGAAAACCAUCACCUAUAAACUCAGGAAUAUUCAUGUUGUAUUAUCAAGAAUCAAUAGCAUAAUUAUGCGGAAGCGUAUCUGAAUUCAUAACGCUUAAUUCCUCUCUAGAGUAGCGUGGUUGGCCUUUCAGAUCUACACGUUCUCCUAUAGAGUCCUUUAGUUCUCUCUACGCUCUCUCUCUAAUAAUGAGAUAUCAUAAAGAAUGGAAAGAAUACAUGUAACCUGAGGACCAUAACCACUUAUAUAGACAACUUAUUCCAGUUGUCACAUGAUAUUCAUAAUUCUGCCUAUCAUAGAAUUAGAAUAUUAUUGGGUCCUACACAUUAAGGCUCACACUAUAUUAGAUACAUUAAAGCUCAUAAUACCGAAAAUCUAAAUAGAUCACUUUUAAUUGAGCUUAACCUUAUACAACAGUCUGCAACACAUAAUUAUUCACAUAUAAGCCCAACGUUGGAUUAAGGAUCCAACAAUAUUGAAUUAAAAAAUCCAACAAUCUCCCACUUGGGCUAUAUGUGUAACCUUAUAAUUAUGUUUUGCAAAAAUAACCAUAUGAGCUCAACCUUACUGUCAUUAUAGAAAUAUAUAUAUAACUAAUCCGGUCCAUAAAUCAUACUAACGUAAGAUUACCCGUACCUCUAGCUUUUACACAAUAACUACAGAACAAUUAUAUUUCAACAUAAGUAUAAGAAAAGGUGCACGCAUAAGUACACAGAAUGGACUGUAGACCGUAAUAUCCGGAUUCAUAAGUACAAGAGGCAGAACUACAGAACAAUUAUAUUUCAACAUAGCAUCAUUAUCUAAGAAAAGGUGCACGCAUAAGCAUUAUACGAUGAAGCCUACUUGCUUAAUUUAUAAUGGAAGGAAAGCCAACCAUGAUGACUCGUCUGCCAUAAUGUUUAAUGUCAGAGAAAAAGAAAAAAUUAUUUUGCUAAUAUGCAUUCUUCUUAGUUCUAAGACUAUCUAUCAAGAAAAUUGACUUCAUUAAGAUCGUUGCCUUUCAAAGAAUUCAUCAACUGUACAAAAAGCAACUUCGAACAACCAUUAAAUGCUCUAUUGAAAAAUCAAUAUCAUAGGUCCGCACGUUUAAUAUUUUCAUUCCUGGCAACAGAGAAAAAGACUGCACCUCUCCCAGAGUCACGUCCUAAGAUAGUUGUCCAAAGCCAAUGCAGUUUCUACCACGUCUUAUGUCUCGACGAACAUGAGCUUAUACUGCAUUAUUUCCUGCAAGAAGAAGGCCAUCAGGUUUCCCUCCCAAGAAAACAUGAGCUUCUACUUAAAUGUGAAUUAAUUAUCAAGUUAUAACAGAGAAAAACAAAGAAAAGAUGCCAAAAUGUUUGAAGACAGACUGAUAAACUAAAAGGAGACGAGUGGCAAUUAUUUCAUCCAUGUACAAGUAACUGAGAAAAAAACAUACAAUCCCAUCAGGGACAACGGAGGCCAUCUCCACCAAGAGCUUUCCAUAAUUAAUUUAUAAACAUACAAUCUCAUCAGGCUUUAUGGCGAGUGAAGCUUCACGGCAGCUAAGCUGCAACCGAAAUGUCAAAUAAACAAAGAGAUCAAUGGAGAUUUUAGCAUAAAAAUUAACAGCUUGUGAAACAAAGAUGACAGCAUAACAAUAUGCACUAUUUUUACAUCAGAAGCCAUAGUAUUGCAUCAGCAGUGGAAGGCGACAACUAACUAAAGAAUGAUGAAACUCAUUUUUCAUAGCAAAAAUAAUGAUAUUGAAUCCAAGCACAAUAAAUAUUAUUAACUUCAGAUAAGCCAUCUAGCUAAAAUAGCAAAAUAAAUAUGUUAGCACUCUAAUAGCUCAAGAUACAGAGCUACCAAAGCACUGCCCAAGAUUUCUUGCUCACAAACUGCCUCAACUAUCAGCUUUAUGCCAGCUGAUAUACACUCCAGUUUACACAGAUUAAAAAGCCACGUGUAUAACGGCCUCAUAACAGAUUUGAUUCCCUUCUCACGUGCGUUUUCACGUGCUUUACUUAAACCAGCUUAAAACGAUCUUGGAUGAUGCCGUUUUAAACAGUAAGUUGAGCACAUGUUUAGCUCGUGACUUCUUGAGGCAUUUGAACCCAAUCUGAAACGCUUCCGUUUAACCCUUCAAGUUUUGUAUUCAGCAGAUUAAUCCACAAAAUCAAAUCUGGAAACCGAACGAAGGCCAUUCAAAUUUUUUCGGAAGACCUUAAAAUUGAACAUUCUGGAGGCAAAGGGAAGUAAAACACGUUCCAAAAUUUCGUACCUGUCUGUAAAACCUCCGUCAAAAUAUGAACAAAGUUUGCCCUGUAGCUUUUUCCAUCUUUUUUAUUUUUUACAAGACCAAAACUGGAUAACCGAGGGUCACCAUCCUGCGAUGAAAUGAAAAUUAAUUAAUGAACCUGUACAAUCAAAUGCAUAUGAACAUGCUGAAAAAUCAUAUGAAGCAGCCACAAGUUCCCUGACCUAUAUAUUUCUCCAGUAAUUAAAAUUAUUCUUAUAGAAGCAAUGAAAUGAUUAGCAGACUUUUACCUUUCAGUUUGCGUACAAGUCCCCUUACCCAUGUAGUCAUCCUCACUCUUUGCAUAAAUGUAUUGCAACUCCAGCAAUGACCCUAAUCUUGUAAGAACAGGAAUGUGUAGCAAUCGAUAGUCUGGUGAUUCACUGCCAGCUUAGCCAUUCUCAUUUCUCUGACCCUGUGGUUAUUUCUUAUGUUUAUGCUAGCUGCCUUAUGUCUAUUCGAGAGGAUCUAUGGGAUGCCGUAGUGACAUACUUUCAUAGCCAUGAUCGCCCUUGGAUUGUUGGUGGGGGACUUUAAUGUUGUUCAGUCUGUUUCGGAGAUUUCUGGUGGGCAUAACCAACCCUAGGGAGCUAUUGAUGCUUUCAACCUAACAUUGGUGGAUUGUGGGUUGGAGGAUGCUGGGUUCGUUGGUAGCCCAUAUACUUGGACUAAUGGACAUGCUUGGAGGCGGCUUGAUCAGGUGGUCUGUAAUGCUUGUUGGUCUGAUUUUUUCUCGUCGUUUCAGGUUACUCACCUGAACCGUACAGCUUCGGACUAUUCUCCUCUGCUCUUUUCCUGUGACAAGGGUGCGACUAAGGGACCUCCCAGAUUUAAAUUUUUGCAUACUUGGCUCAGACAUCCGGGUUUCUUUGAUGUUGUGACUCAGUCUUGGGAUUCUCCAGUGGUUGGUUUCGGGAUGCGGGCAUUCCAACAGAAGCUUGUCCGUCUGAAGAAUUGUUUGAAAGCUUGGAACAAGGAAGUGUUCGGCAAUGUCUUUUACAGAGUGAAAGAAGCUGAGAAGGACAUAGCUCGGAAGAAGAGGCAGUACGACCUUUCUGGUUCUGUGGAGGAUAGGGUUAUGUUUUCAGAGGCCAGGGCUCAUUUGCAGCAUGCCUUGUUGUGCGAGGAGAGUUUCUUGAGACAGCAGUUCAAUGUCCGAUGGGUCCGAGAGGGUGAUGCCAAUACCCGCUUUUUUCAUGCGAUAGUUCAUUUUUAUCAAUGUCCUUUUGAUCAGAAAUUCAUGAAGAUUUCAUCCAUUAGUUUUUUUGUGGCCCAUUUAGUAGUGGCUGCAUUCUGUUUGUUGAAAUGUCUUAGAGAAGCUUGCAAGUUGCAAUACUAACAAGCUUAAUGAGCUGGAGAUAAAGUGGCAGUGAGCUGGAGUUAAGCUGACAUGGAGCAUGAAUCAGCAUUGUCUUAAGAGCAAUCCAGAGUUAGUUAGAGAGAAAGUAAAAGCAGAGGAAGAAGACAAUGAUCAUGUGAUAUAUGUACAGUACAAUAGCAGUAGCCGUUAGAUCAAUUGAUUUACAACCAUUACACCAUAAGCUUGCUACCCCAGCUAUGCACUGAUGCAUUAAUAGAAAAGAAAGUGAAUGAAAAAGAUGUGCUGUGCUCAAUCAAUUAAUCCUUUUGCGUCUGCCACCAAAACUUAAGGUAGUUAGAAAUUUUUUAACUAGUCAAAAUACCAAUAUUUCCAAAAGCUUUAAGCUUAUGGGACAACCAGUUGCUCAACAUCGACCUUGAUAUCAGAACCAAUCCGGAUGAGGAGUCAGGUGUUCGAAUUCCAUCAUUCAAAAUUGCCUUAUAAUUCCCGCGCUUUCUUGGCAAGAAAAGGCAGUGGAGGCCUUUUAUUAACCAUAAGGGGUGGAUUAAUUGAUGGAUUAAAAUCUUUUGGCAGUCAUUAUUUUACUGGUUGGAAUUUCUUUAUGUUCUACUAUUAAUGAAUUUUCCUUGCCAUUUUUAAGUCUGUGAUAUAAGUGUUCAUAAUGGUGCGUUGUCGAUGUAGUUCUCUCCAGCGAAUCAUGUGUUGAUGCACAUAUUGAAAAAGAGGUAAAGAAUCUAAAUUUCCUGCUUCACAGUGUAGAUGAUAGAAUUUUUCAGUUUAAAACGUGAGGAGUUUUAGUUCACAUGCACUCUGUUUUCGUAGUAGUCUUAAGAUAUGUUGUCACUUGUCAGUGUUCUUGUAGUUCCCUUUUAAGACUACAUCUUGUCUAGUUGUCUUUGUACUCAAAAGUAUGUAGUUAGUGGCGAUAAAUGGAGUGCUUUUGUAUGUUACUUUUUAAUGAAUGAUGGAAAAAAUAAUUCAUAAGCAUCUUAGCAUAACAUUUUCACUCAAUUAAUGCAUAUCAACAACGGUUUACUGAUGCUCUAUAUGUGACUCAUUUCCAGGAAGCCUUUAUCAGGUAUGCUUAACUCAUUGAAAACUUAUUAUUUUUCAUGUUUGGGCCAUCACAACAUUGACAUUGUUGAUGCUGUUCGUGUCUUUCUCACUGUACAUAAGAAUGUAAACUCUUUUUGGAAGGUAUAAGAUCAAGAUUCUGUUUGAAAUCUUUACCAUCAGCUUGCUUUUCAUUUGGUGGAUACUACUAUCGAUAAUGUCAUUUUUGUCAUCACAAACAUAACGCCUACUCUUCAUCUGUACAAAUCACCAUAAAUUUAAAAGAAGAAUAGACAUUAAUAAAUUUUUGGAGCAACAAAAGUGUAUAUUAACUAAUCUUCAUAUUUUUAAUAAUAAAAAAUAAUUUUUGACCCUUAGCAGCUGCUUCAACUUGAAGUUGACCUUCCCAACAUUUCCAACUGACAUUUUGUCCAUCGAUUGUUACAUUCAUCCUCAAAGCAUGCACUGAAGAAGGGAGGCUCAUACUCCACUGGCUGCAAGCCUGCAACAAUUAAGCUCAGGGAUUAUUAAAAAAAAACCACAAUUAAUUAAUUCCAAAUACAAAUGUAGAAACUUAAUUAAGACAUCAGAUAUCAGUUCUAUAAGGGGGUAUCAUCACAUCAUCAUAGUAGAGCGGCUUCACUGAUACAUUACGCUGUAACAAAUUAGGAAUAAUAGAUAUCUCAUUAGUUGAUAAUAAUGUGCCAUAAAUAAUAUUCAAUCAUGUGAAAAUACUUGAAAAAUUAAUCUUCAAAGUGCAAACUGAGACUAUAGCGAGUAUCACUACAGGCAUUUCCAAACCCUUAUUAUAUCUCGGACGCUUUUGCAAUUUACUAAGCAAUUUAGCAGGUGAGGUGCUGAAUGUAUAGUACAGAUGUGACAAGUUAAAUAAAUACAGUCUACACAAAAAUAGAAAGAUAAAUGAAAUUUAAUUAUUGAUGUUGAUUAAAUUAAAUGAAACUGCAUAUAAAGGAAGACAUGUUCCAAUGUCUGUAUAAUCCUCUCAAUAAAUAUCUCAAGAGUAAGAACAUAAAAAAAAAAGAGAAAAUAGAUAUGAAAAUAAAGCCUUAAUUACAGGAAUAUUCUUCAAUCAAAGGCCCUUCAUUUUCAUAAAGAAUUUUCCACACCGAAAAAACGAACUACAUUGCAUGCCUACCGAAAAAUUAAAUAAAAAUUGUUUUUAAUUUCGAAUAGCGAGCCCAAAUUUUCUAUUUCCAGAAGAAAUCUUAUGCUGUUGAAAAGUUUCAUAUUAGGAAUCAUUUACUGCUAGUGUCAGUGAAGUCUCCUUAGUGAUCUGCGGUUUCUUCACUCGUGAUCUACCAGACUUGAAACGAUAAUCAUAUAAUGAGAUAAGUAUUAACUGUUAAUUGAACUGUAGAAUCUCAAAAAUGAGUAAACGGAUUACAAAUUAAUUAUGACGAGUUUGUGUAUCCCUUGGAUUAAAAUAUCAAGAUUUAUUAGGUCUAUAUAAUUAAUUUGAUAUUUUAAUAUCUUCAAUUUGGUAUAUCAGAAUAUUAAGAUUUAUUGGGUCUUUAUCAAGAGCCGUCGCCAAUUGAUCAUUUCAUGGGGUUUGAUACAGCCACAGAACUAAGAUAAAAUUUCAUAGGUAGACUAUUACGGUUACUCCACCAUAAAACAAACGAUAUUUUGAAAAGAAAAUUAAGACUCUGGUAGUUAAUUUGCCUCGUAAUUAAUUAUUGCGGACAAACCAUCACAAAAAUUUUUCAAUUAUUAUUUACUUUUCCAUUUUCUUUAAGGGUGAGACUACUUACAUUUUAAAAAUUACUUUGAAUAUUUUUUAUUUUGAUAAAUUACUUUAUUACAAAAAUACUUAUCAUAUGAAUUACUAAUAAAGACUGUAUCUUUUAUAAACUAAUAUAAUAUUAUUACUCUGAACACUCAUAUAGCAUAGUCAAUAUUCAAUAUAUAAUUUCUUGCUAUAAAUUCUAAAAAUCUCAACCACAAUCUCUUAGAGAAUGUUUAAUUAAACAAGGGGCAAGUCAAUACUUAAAAUAUAUUUAGAACAUUUUUUGCUUUUUAUUUUUUUUUAAAAGUAUGUUUUCGUAGUCUUUUCCUUCUUCUUUUUUUUAGGGGGGGGGGGGGGGGGGGGAAGGGGACUAAAUGGCCCUUUUGUUAGGUUAAAAAGUUGGGGUGUGAAAAUCAAUAUUGUACAUAUUCUUUAAUAGACAAAAACUAAUAAUUAAAAUUUAUGUUAAAGAAUUUGUUUAGAACAAAAUUUGAUUCUAUUGUUGUACAUACUAAAUUGUUAUUAAUUCAUUUUGUACAAAUGCUCGUUUAGUCCCUAUAUUUUAACUUUAGUGCUUAUUUAAUACCUAUAUUUUAAAAAACGCCUCAAGAUACCUAUACUAUUAAAUAUGUUGUACUCUUUUCCUUACUUUUUCUUAGCUUUUACAAUAAUACCCAACAAUAUUUUUUACAUUAAUUGUUUAAUCUAUAAAAAAAGUUACUUAGCAAAUUAACUAAUAAUUAAACAUCAAUAUCAAACAAGCGGUACUUUUUAUACCCUUACAAGAAUCUUGCUGAUCAUUAUUUAUAAAUAAAUUAAUAAUAGCCAAUUUAAAGUAAUGUUUAAUAUCCUUUCAACAACAUUACCAAUAAUGUUUUGUUAAAAAAUUAAUUUACUAAAUUAAUCCUAAAUAUAAAAUAAUAGCAACUAAUUUUUAUUUUACUUUUAUGGCUAAUUUAAUAAAUUUAUUUUUUUCAUUAAUAUCUUUAAGAAUAUUGUUGCAAAGAUAUUAUUAUAAAAGUGAAGAACAAGCUCAAUUAAAAUAAAUAAUGCAAGCUAGUACUAAAUACCUAUUAUAAUUUUAGAAUAGUUUAUUAAAAUAAAAAGGGAAAAGGACAUCUACACAUGCAUUAUUUAUUAUGCAUUACUAAAUACCUAUUUAUUAUACUGUUAAACUUGAGCCGUUCAUCCGUUAUCUAUACAUGCAUUAUUUAUUAUGGUACCUCAGCAUCAUUUUAUCUCCAAGUGCAAAUGCUGAAAAUUAAUUAAGAGGUAAGUAAGGCAUCAGUUAAAUUUGCACCCUACUACCCUGUACUUUUUAUCAAUCAAUACACCUGGUGAGUCCCUAAAAUUUGCACCCUAACAACAACAGCUAGCCACAAUUAGUCAUGAACACCAAAAAGUCCGCGCAGGAUGUGUAAAAUGGACAUGUCUAUGACAUCAUUUUUAUAACUAUAAAAGUAAUAAAAUAUUCUCCUAAAUAUAUUAACCAAUGCGAUUUUGAUUAUUAAAAAAUAUAAUUUCAUUAAAAAUUCAUCGGUCUUACUAAAAUAUGUAAGAAACACGUAAAGUAAUGCACAUAACUUUUUUUUAUUUUUUUAAAGGAGGGGUGCAACAUGAGGACUUCUCAAGAGGUCACUCAUCUUAGUACUGUUCUCGCCCAAGCAUGCUUAACUGCAGAGUUCUGAUGGGAUCCCGUGCAUUAGUGAUGGUAUGGUCGCACCCAAGCAAUGGACAUAACCUUAAUUUUUCAAAUGUUCUUCAUUUUUUUUUAAUCCUUUUGGAUAUCGUGAGAUCUUUAAUAAGGUGGGAAUCAGAGGGGGCCAAGUUCGUUUGGACAGUCCUUCAAAAUAUACUUUUAACUAGUCAAGAAAAAGAUUAGGAGUUGUAAUAUUAACGAAAUUUUAGUAUUGAUAAAUAUGUACGACAGAUUAUUAAUACUAAAUUGAACUUAAAAUGUAUUUAUUAUUACUUUGAUUUUAUUAUAAUUCUAUUUAUUAUAAAACAAUAAACUGAAAUCAAUUUUUGUUCAGAGUCCAACAAUAAAAUAAUCGAAAGGGCCAUUUCCGAGACUAUUUUUUAAACAUUAAGGUCUAUGUCCAUAAUUAAAUAAAUUAUGGAAUAUAAAUAUCCUUUUCCUUCAUAAUUACCGCCAAAUUACUCCCAAUCUCCACGCGCAUUAAAUUUGGUUGGUAUGCUUUGAUCGUCGGUUCGUCUUCAUGUUUACAAUUAUUUACUUUUUGGACCACGUUUGGCACAUGCCGAAAUUGAAUCUUAGCCCUUAAUCUUACCGACUAAUUGUACGAUAAAACUUGAACCGUUGAUGCCUUAUCUAUACUUUGCAACGUCACAAUCACCCCCGUUUGGCACAUGCCGAAAUUGAAUCUUAGCCCUUAAUCUUGCCGGCUAAUUGUACUAGAGAACUUGAACCGUUGAUGCCUUAUCUAUACUCUGCAACGUCACAACUACCCACUUUGGCACCGUAGGCGACUUGAUCUCUAUAUAUCAUGCCAAAUCAGAAGCAAGAACUCGCUCAAGUACUUAUUUUUUAAUAUAGUGCACUCGAAGCUAGCAAAGAUCUUUUCUGACUUGAAGAAUAUGAAAACUCUUGCUGGCGCAGGUAUUUAGGCCUACUUCAGUUUCUUUUUUGAGAAGGGCCAACUUCAGUUGAAUAUCAUUUAUAAUUCUUUUUUUAAUAUAUGCAUUUAUGAAUAUAUUUUUCAAUAUAAAAUUUUUAGGUAUGAGCGAUCCGUCAGAAGGUUUGGUACUCCCUUCCAGUAUUGCUGAUGAUGAUGUUGGAAAUGACAAUCUUGAUCUUAUUGUUAUUCCUCAAUAUGGGAGAAAUCCUGAUUAUUAUGGGUAAGUGUCUGCAAUCUGGAUGAUGAUAUAUGUAAUUAAAUAAAAGGAUGGGUACAGUUAUUACCUAUCAAUCAUAAGAGUGUCAAUUUAGUUCAGUUCACUAAUAAAAAUCUCUUAUACAAGAGAUUAUCUUUGUUUGCGUUCAUGUACUUUGUCUUCUUUAAUUAAUAAAUAAAAUUAUUGUGUAUCAAUGUGUUGAUUAAAUUAGUACAUUAAUAGAUAUAAAAUCAUUUGAAUUUGUCCACAUAUUAGUUUAGUUAAUUGUGCUCUCUUUCUUCUUGAAUAUUUGUUAAACAAAGUCUACCUAUUAGUUAGCUAAAAAUUGCAGCUCGCAGGGAACCAAGAUCUUUAAAAUUAAUUACGAACGUUUAUGCUUCUUAAAUGGCUUGUGUCAUCGUGAUAAUGCCAUUACAACCAGUUAUAUAUAUAUAUAUAUAUAUAUAUAUAUAUAUAUAUAUAUAUAUAUAUAUAUAUAUAUAUAUAUAUAUAUAUAUGUAUGUAUGUAUAUAUUCAAAAGCAUUCCAACUCUAUGAACCUUCUAUUACACAAUUUUCAUAUGGUAUAAACAUCUAUUUUAAUUAGAGUAAAAUGUUGCUUGUUAGAAUGGCCCGUGAGUCAAUCUAAUUUGCGCUGGGACAAAUUAAUAGAACUUUAAAACUUUUCGACGGGUUUUGAUAAGACUUUAACUUGUCAAACCGUGGGUUGCUGUACGACGGGACUUGAAAAAAAACAUGUUGAGUUCUUUAUAAUUAAUGUUUAAAAUAUUUCAUUAAUUUUAGAGAAUAUUAAAAUAAAAAAUAAGUAAAUUCACGUUGAUCGAGAAAAAUACUGAAAUAUCGAUGCGUGUUUAGGACGAUAUAGAGGAUCUAUUUGAUCACAUUUAAUUCGCAUGCAACAGUAAUUCUGUCACAUUCUAUCACAGAUUCACGAAAGCUUCUCAUCAAAGUAUAGAAACAGAAAACUGUAAAAUUUAACGGGGGAAAACCUAUUAAACAAGAAAACAAAGCAGCCCCUCCGUACUGUGAAAUUACUUGCAAGCCAGUUGCGGUUGAGUUUGGGAAUGAGGGGCUGAGUUUGAGAUAAAUGGAGGGGAGAUAAGUUUGACUAAAAGGGGAUUCACAGGAAGACUUUAAGGGAGAAGAGACAAGUUUGAGAAAAAUUAGGAUAGAGAUUUAGAGGAGAUGAUUUGGGGUCUCAAAUUAACUAAUCCAUUCUUACAAUCACACAAACCGAUGGAAACCCAUUCAGAUUUUGAAAUAAUGAUGGUGACAUUAGUAGCUUAAGCCAAAACAUAAUUUAAAAAUAACAUAUAUAUAUAUAUAUAUAUAUAUAUAUAUAUAUAUAGUCAUUCUCUAGUGUAGGUAUCUUCAUUUAUUUUUCAUGCGAACACAUUUUAAAACCGCGGAGUUUAAGAGAGUUAGUUUUUAACUCUUUAAAACCGCAUAGUUUAAAAGUUUAUCCGUAUUAAAAAAAAUACGGGCGUCCGCACCUGAGAAUGAUUUUAUAUACACACACGUAUAAAGUAAUUUUUUAAUUGUGAAUUAUCAACCAUAUUAAAGUCAAGAGAAAGUUUAUAAAAAAAACCACCGACGCUAAUACAACGUAUUUUGUUGUGUAAUGUUUUGAAAUAUUCCUGCAAAUAAAUGGAUACUGAAAAUGAUCAUAUUAUUUUUAGUGAUUAAUGAUUCUUAUCGAGUAGAUUCUUGAUCUAUGAAAUGACUUACAUGAGCAUAUUCACCCUUUGGGAGUGGGAAACAAGUAAAAUUAUGUGUGCUAGAGGAGCCAAUAUCGAAGAGUUUAAGUCUAUGCUUCUCGUAAUCAAUUUCCAUAUCAAAACAAAAUGGAGUUGAUGAUAAUCUUGAUUUUACUAAAAAAAAAAAGGAAUAAUAGAUGUCUCAUUAGAAAAUAUUAAUGUGCCAUAUAUAUAAUAGUUCAAUCAUGUAAAAAUACUUGAAAAAUUAAUCUUGAGAAUGCAAAAUAAGAACUAUAGCAAGCACCUCUACAGGCAUAAAUUAAAAGAAUUGCAACGUGUACAUGAAGACUGCUAGACAUAGAAAAAAGUGAUAAAAAAAAAACUGAUAUAUGAUAAAGAGCAUAAUAGAGAUAGUUGUUAUUAGGGAUGGUAAAAUUCUCCAUGGGUUGGGGUUCUCUAGGGCUCCAUGAUACAAACUCUUAAAAUAAUUAAAAUUAUUUAUUUUAUUUUAUGGUAUUAGUUAAUUUUGAACUAGUCAAAAGUAGUUGCACUUAUUUUGUGGAAUUACAUGUAAGUAAUGGAGCAUUAUGUGAAAACAAGCCCAAUGUUACUAAUUUUUAGGUUGUAAUCUUAAAUAAGUGCGGCCCUACAUGUCUACACACCCCUUAUGUCCACCCAUUGCUUAGUGUGAGACUAUACGCUUCCAUGAUUUAAGGAAAUAAAUUUGUUAAAUGAUCAUCCAAGGUUCGAAAAGUUUUGGAUCUUGGAUGAUCAUUGAGCAAGUUAGUGACACCAUAUACUUUCAAAUCUUCUUUGUCAUGUAAGUUCCACAGACACCUUCCUACGUUUCUCAAAUCUAUCCUGAAACAUAUUAAAAAAAAAGAAAAAUUAGAUAUAAAGGAUUUUCGAACGUUGGAUGAUCGUUUAGCAACUUUGUGAUACCAUAUCUUUUUUAAUCUUCUUUGUCUUGUAAGUCCAAUAGACACCAUCCUGUAUUUCUCAAAUCUAUCCUAAAAUAUAUAUAAAAAGGAAAUAACAUUGCACAGAUAACGUUGGCAUAAACAUGUGCAUGUCCGCCCACCGCUUUUGUCCGCCCACAACAUGUCCACCAACAUAUGCACAGUCCAGCAUGCCCCACAUGUCCACCCACCGCUAAGUGUGGGGCUCUAGGCUUCCAUGAUUUAAGGAAAUAACAUUGUAUAAAUAAAUAAUGUUGACACAAACAUGUGCAUCUCCGCAUGUCCACCCAAAUAUAUACGGUUGCGCAUGUCCACCCACCUCUUAUGUCCACCUAUCGCUUAGUUUGGGGCUUCGGGCUUCCAUAAUUUAAGGAAAUAAUUAUAACAAGUUUAAUUAUAGGCAAUAUACAUGUGUGUUAAUGUAUAUAGACAACAUGUACUUCUAAAGUGACAACAUGUACUUCUAAAUUUAUUUCCUGACAUUCCCUUUUCCCUACCCAUUUUACCAGCCAUUUGAGUUUCAGCAGCAUUUUGGUCAGGUAUAUUUUCUUGAUGGACAGCAUCCCUCCUUGCAUCGACAUCCUCCAUGGAGAUCCAUGUAUCAAAACGAGGUUGAAUUUUAGGCAAUAUAUAUAUGUGUGUGUGUUAACGUUUGAGGAGUAUCAAUACCUCCUUGAUAUUCCAUUGAGGGCUGAUUGUCAAGAGGCAGCGGUGUUGGCUGAGAUUGAUCUUGAAAAUGAACAUCAUCAGGCUGGGGUGAUGGCAGGGGUGUUUCAAGAAAUUGAUCUUGGAAAGGAACAUAAAAAACUAGGGCAGAUGUACCCACCAUGUUCCCUGAUAAAAGAGAGAAGAAUAGAAUAAAAGAAAUUAAUAUCCUGAAGGAAAAGUAAAUUGCCACCCUUUGAGGUGUAUCAAAAUGAGAUUGAGGUGCAUCAAUACCACCUUGAUCUUCCAUUGAGGGCUGAUUGUCAACAGGCGGGGGUGUUGACUGGGGUGUUUCAAGAGAUUGAUCUUGAAAAUGAUCAUAAAAAAAUGGGGAAGGUGGUAUCACCAUGUUCCCUGAUAAAAGAGAGAAGAAUAGAACAAAAUAAAUUAAUAUCUUGAAGGAAAUUGGUGCAACAAAGCAAAAAGCAUAAUCUAAUUCCAAAAAUUAGCUUAAACAAUUGGGUUAAGUAUAUCACCAUCAUCCUCAUAUUGAUUUUGGUACAAACUCCCAUCAGCCUCCGCUGCCAUUUGCUCCUCCAUUGGCUCAUUAGCUUUCAGAGACACUUCAAGCAUAAAAGGAAAAAAGGAAAUUGAAGAAAUUUAUUUCCAAAAUCAGUACAACCUGAACAAUCCAAAAUGAGAUAUAAAAGCAUAAUAUCAUUUCAAAAAAUCAGUAAGGUUCAUGCCUACAGUCAACAGAGUUCCAGUAAGAUAAAACAAAUCAGUAAGAUAUAAAAGUCAUGAAUGUGCUUCAUGCCUACGGUCAACUGAGUUCCAGUAAGAAUAUGAAUAAUGAUUUGCUGUAUUUAGCUGAUUUUGUUUAAGCUGAUUUUGUCUUUGUUUUCUCCGUUUGCUGGCUUGCUGCAUUUUUUUCUUAUUUGUGUGAUUUCAAUUUUGUAUUGCAACUUGAAAAUGACAUGGAUUCAUCUGAUUUGUUUAAGCAAAUUUGAUCCCAAUUUCCAUAUGAUUACCGAUCCGAAUCCAAAUUAAUCCGAACUAUUCAUCCGAUCCGAAUCCGAUCCGAAUGUUUUGAAUUCGGAUGACUUUUCUACCAAUCCGAAUAAUCUGAAAUCCGACAGGACUGAUCCGAAUCCGAUCCGUAUCCAAAUUUGCCCACCCCCACAAGUUUUUACCCCCUAUUAACUUAUAAUUUUUGUCAAAGAAAACAAAACAAGUGAAAAAAAUCACUGUUUCACAGCCCACACCAUGAAGUUGAUCUGAAACUGAACCUUAUAAGUCUUCAAAUGCAGCACACAACAAUGCAGAUUAGUAAAAGUGGAGAGGAAUUGAUUGAGAGCUAUAUUUCAAGGAUACUUACAAUUCACUACAUGCAUACAGAUUUAAACAACAAAAAUCAAAGAAAAGAAAAAGUAUUCUAACAAGGUGCACGUGUCUCUAAUUUUUUUAAGUCUAGCUACAGUUUCUUUUGCAUUGAAAUAAAAAGUAUUUCAAAAAAUCAGUAUUACUUGGAAUAAUAAUAGGCAGAAAGUAUUAUAAGGUACCUUCAGGGUCUCCGACCAAGUAAAGUUUUCUGUCAACCCAAAGAGAUACCAAAGGCACAUAUUUGGGAUGCUUGCUCCAAUCUGAAUCUACUGGCUGUCUAUCCCUCCCCAUUGUAAAAGUGUAGGUUUUAUACCUAGGCACUUUACGAGCACUUUCAAAACCGAAUUGCUGGAGAGCGUUUUCCGGAUGAUGGUACGCAUAGUCUUUAAAAUGUAGCAUCACAGUUGUUGCACAACCAAUUUCCAGAUGAGCACCAUAAUUUUGAGGGAGAGACUUGUACCUGUUAUUAUAAGGCCUCCAGACAAUCUACAAGACGAGAGAACAAGUCAAGCACAAAAAGAAGCUUUUAAAGGAUAUAAAUAAAAAAACAGAGAUUAAAACUACUCAAUUAACCUCAGUUGUCUCAUUGAAAUGCCUCUUGUACUACUCCUUUGGCAGAUUGGCCUGAUGGUUGUGUAGGGGAGCCAAAACCGAUGUCCACUCCACAAGUAGGGGAAAUUUGGACGGAAGCGUGUAGUUGACAGAACAAAGAUAGGAUUCUCUUACAGCGGGAACCCUUUCAAACACAAAUAACUGUAAAAGAACUAAAAGAAAUUAGAUAUAUAUAAAAAAGAAAUAAUAUUGCACAAAUAACGUUGGCAUAAACAUAUGCAGCCUUGCAUGUCCACCCACAGCAUGUUCACCAACAUAUGCACAGUCCAGCAUGCCCCGCAUGUCCACCCACCGCUAAGUGUGGGGCCUAGGCUUCUGUGAUUUAAGGAAAUAACGUUGUAUAAAUAAAUAACAUUGACGCAAACAUGUGCAUUCCUGAAUGUCCACCCAAAUAUAUAUAGUCACGCAUGUCCACUUACCUCUUAUGUCCACCUAUCGCUUAGUGUGGGGCUCUGGGCUUCCAUAAUUUAAGGAAAUAACGUUGCACAAAAAGAACAUAAUUGAGUAUGGUAAAAUGCUAUGAGGAAAUAGAUGAUGGUGAUGCAUUAGGCAUGCCAAAUCUUUUUUUAAUACAAUUUUUUAAUGUAUUUUUAUUACUAGAAUCUCCCCCGUGUAUAUAUAAUAUUAGAGGUGUGAACAAUUGAACCAUAUUAGAAAGAAUUUGAUUUGGAUCGAUUCAUUCGACCGAAUCGUUUAAUCUGACUGGUGCCGACGCCCACAUGGCUGGAAUUUCCCCAGUAUACGAAUAAAUGGACCCAAUUCCCUUACAGCUUGGAGACCCGGAUGGUGAAUAAACUUUCAAUUUCCUUAUAAUGCAGCCAAUGAUGUGGGGCUUCGUAGUGACAAUGAAUGGAAAUUAGAUGAUGAAAUAGCUGCCUUCCUCGGUGAUUGUUGGGUUAGUAUAUUAAUUAUUAUUUUUCUUUCAUUUAUAUGAUUACCAAUUAUUUGUGUUUCGUUGUUUGAUCUAUUAUUUUGUUUGUAUUGAUUUGUAUUUUGUUUGUUCAGCGCGGACAAAUUGCAGUUCCAACUCUUUACCCAUUCAUUAGUCCUGAAGGAAACCACAUUAUACAAACGCAAAAUAAAAUACAAGUGAUUCACAGAAAACUUAUCUGCGCACGAUAUAAUGCUACCAAAAUUGUGCGAGUAUUGGUCCGACCAUCUAUUCGGCAUGCAUACUGAUUAGUGACAUAUUUCAGAGAUCAUUUGCGCGGGGAAGCUUCUCCAUUAUGGAUGGAUCCGCCAUCUUUCGAUCACUGUCACCGGGAGCACUGUCACGGGGUAAUUCGAGCUGCAGUUAAUGAAAGUUUAACCGCGUGAACUGGUUUUUCCUAUUCUCAAUGAUACUUGUGAUUGGUCUUCGUUUAAUUUCUUAAAAGAUUUUAGAAAGCAAAUAAUAUGCAGGUUUUGCCCCAUCCUACUAUAUAGGAAUUCGCAAUCUAAAAAAUCAUACCUUGACAAUCCGAGAAGACGAACAAUUGAAAUUAAUUAAGGCUUCGCAGAUCACGGUCCGUCACCACCACGCUUAUUAGAUCACGAUCCGUCACUAAUGAUCUUCCAGGUUAUGACUCAGGUUUGAUCUGCACUUGACGUGUGGGCGGCUUUAUCACUACUCAAAGCAACUAGCAGGAGAAAAUUUUUCUCUCCAAAUGAGAAAAAAAAACUUUUUCUCUGAUCUGUAUAAUGUGGCUUCUCUCUUCUUUUUGGGAGAAAAUAAGCUCUUUUAUAUCUUUAUCUCAGUGGAAACCAUAGGCUCCAUAUUUUUAUAUUUUUAAUUCUAUUAAAUCAAAUUUGAGUUAAAUUAAAAAUAAUAAAAUCAAAAGUAACGUUACUUUUUCUUGUCAUAGGGGCCCAUCUUAUAAAAUAACACUAGGCCCCUUAGACACAAUCACAUUAUAUGGAGCCUCCCACUAAAUAAUAUAUUUAGACUUUUAACCCAAAUAACUAGUUAUCUUGCUUAUUAAUCCAGUAGCCGCGCAGUCAAUUAAAUGAGUUAACCUGGGGAUCAUAUGGGUACAUACAAUAGUGGCUACAAUAAUUAGGCAUUUAAUUAAACUAGCCCAAUUAUUUAAUUCCAAAUCUACUCCACUAAAAAUUUGGAAUUGACCUCCAUAAUUGUAUGCUAUCCAUGAUAGUGUUCUCGAAUAAUAAUUCGACUCAUGCCACAUUGAUUUCUUUACUGCAUAAUUCUUUGUACCACAUCGUUAAUUAAAUCGAUAUCUCAACUGUCCAAUCGAUUUAAUUCCAUCUUGUUCCUUGAUACUUACUGGUUUUCUCUAAUGAUCAUUUUCAACAUACUAAAUAUGUAUUGUACAAAUUAUAUAUUGUUAAUCUAUAACUCCAAUAUUCAUAAUUGCUCCCACCAAAAUAACCGGUAAUAUUGACUAUAAGUGUGUAUUGUGCCCAAUGGUAACUCAAAUGGAAUAACAAUUACAAUCAUGAAAUUAUAACUAACUCAAGAUUAAGAUUACAGUAAAAUCAAUGCCUAUGAGAUUUAAUAAGUCUGACAAUCAUUUCAAGAUUAAUUAAAUCUCAUAUGUGAUCCAGCUCAAUGUAGUCAAAUUACAUCAGUAAAUUCAUACAUGAUUAAGACAAAUCAUUCAAUGAAUUUACUACAGUCUAAACAUAAAUAGAGCGCCCAACUCUAUUUAUCAACUGCGAACUUAAUUUAUUUAAUCAUAAGAUAACUUGUAUUUAUGUUUUAUAUGAAUCCAUAUAAUGAUCACAUAAAUACAUAUAAUAUGAUUAAAUAGAUCUUAUUCAAUAUAUUUAUGCAAUUGAAAAUAUCUCAAAUAUUUUAUUAAUCAGAAAAUAAAUUAAUAUGCUUUAAAGAGCACAUAAUCCCAACAAUUAUUACUUGAACUUACUCCGCUAAAUUAAAUUUCCAGAAGUGCCCCUAACACCAUCCAUUAAAAUUUCCUUUAUUUGUUUGUACAAUUGUUUAUUUUGUGUACCACCUCUCACUUGUAUGAUUAAACUUGAACAGUUGAUCCAUUAUCUAUACAAUGCAUUAUUUGUUUAUUUCGCACUACAGUGUCGGCACUUGAUCUAUAUAUAUCAGAUCAAACUAGAAAUAAGCACUCUCAUAAAAGGAAGCAAGCCAAUACUAAAUACUUAAUAAAUUGUUUUAAAUAAAAAAAUUUAGAAUGGUAAGUGCUAAAUACUUGAAAAAAAUUAAUUAUGAGGUACAACAUCAGUCAAUAAAUUAGUAUUGUCACAUAAUCGUAGUAGAGGAGCUGAAAAUUUUAGUUAGAGCGGUGAUAUUUGUCCCCCUAUUUAUCUCAAUAGCCUCACAUUCUAAUUUAUUUCAUUAAAAAUUCCAAAAAUAUUUAUUUUUCUAGCUUUUUUUUCCCUAAAUAAUCUCGGCGUAACCAGGAAAAUUAUUGAAGAAUAGAAAGAAGAAUACAGCUAGCAACUCCGCCUGGGGGGGGUGGGGGGGGAACAAAAUGUGCCUUACAUCUGCACUGAACAGUCUGAAAAUCCAUGAUUCUACUCUUCAAGUUAUUCUUAAAUACUCUUUCUUCUACGACAAAAAUAAAACUCCAUAUUUACUUUGGAUUGAAAAAAAGGAAUAAAUAAAUAAAUCUUUACCAAAACAAGCAGUGCGCCUAAAGAGUAACGUUUGUAGAAAAUACUUCUCAUAGAGAAUUUUGCAUACUUAAACACGAACUAAAUUGCUUGCCUAAAGAGGAAAAAAAAUCAUAUCAAACUUUUGAUAUUAUGAGAAUAAUUGACUGUACAGCAGUAAAAGAACAAUUAAAGCCCCAGUAAAAAAAUUAACCUUCCUACUCUGGUACAAUUAUUAUUCGAUGGAGUUACUAUAUAUCAAAAUUCGAAGUCAGCAUUUUAACCAUCUUUUCACUUCUGCUUCACUCUCGUUUUGAGAGGUUGUUUAACUCUUCAUAGAUCUAGACGACAUGUUGGAAUAACUUGAAUAUAAUAGAAGAUCCAUAGUGUACAUAUUUAUAGAUGUGUAAUUUUAUUUAACAUUAUUAUGUCCAGUUCAAUUGUUUACAUUAUUAUAGCAAUUUAAUAGAAAGAUUUACUAAUCAUAUGUGACUACUUUUAAAACUCACAACACUUUUAAAAGGAAAUUUUACCAAGCGUUCAACUAAUUCAUUUUACAGCUGAUUAUUUCUACAAUACAGUUAAUAACAAUUAUUUUAAAAGUUAUAAUAUUAUCAAACUAACCCUUAAUAGGGCAGGAGUUUGCAUAAAUAUGUACAACAGAUUAUUAAUUUUAAAUUUAAUUUAAAGUGUGUUUAUUUGUUACAUAGAUUUAAGUAUUAUAUUUCUAUUUAUUAUAUAAUAUUAGUUUGAAGUCAAUUUUUGUAGGGUAAAUAAUGUCAAAAAGUAAAAUAGUUAGAAGGGUUAUCUGUGUAAAUAUCUUUUCUAAACAUUGAGAAUCUAUGUGUAUAUUCAAAUAAACUAUAGAGCAAAAUUAUUAUUUUCUCUAUGAAUUAUGACCAAACUACUCUCAGUCUCCUCAUACAUCCAUUUUGGCCACAAAAACUCAUUUUACAGAUGAUAUUAAAAGAAUGUUUACAUCACUUGACUUCUUAUUUACAAUUAUUUAUUUCAUGGGCAGGGGCGGAUCUAGAACUUAAUAUUAUCUCGGGCUAAAUUUUAAAAUUUAUAUUUUGAAGUGAACAUAAAAAGUUAGUGUAUUUCAAGGUACGUUACAAAUGUCAUUUUUCUUAUUCUACCAAUUGAGUGAUACACACAGUUAAGCAAAUAGAAACUAAAAAUACCAUAAAACACUAGUUUAUUCGCCUACAUUGUGCACCAAUUAAAAUAAACCCCAAUAUCCUUGAAUAUUACAAGUCUAUGAAGAAGCAAUAUAUUGUUCUUGUAGAAAACAAUAUAUUAGAGAUAUGAUGCACAAAGCAUAUAUAAAAUAUGCAUAAUCUUAUUUUUUGGAAACAGGGGUGUAGGGUGAUUGAAUUAAUGUCCAAAAUCCAAAUGGCCUAAACAUGACCCUUGUCUAUGUAUACAUGUACAAAAUAAUUUUUCAAUAGGAUCCUUACCAUAGUAAAGUAAGGACAAGAUAAAAGACCAAAAAAAAAAAAAAAGACUCUAAUAUAAUGUACUUUGUCAUGUAGUGUUUUGAAACCCUCAAAUAUUGUUUAUCAAUUGUUAUGUAAUUGCAAGUAAAUAUAUGGAUACCGAAAAUGAUCAUAGUAGUUUUAAUGAUUACAUGAGCAUAUUCACCCUUUGGGCGUGGGAAUCAAGUUAGAUUAUGUGUGCUAGAGGAGCCAACGUUAGGGAGUUAAGUCUGUGCUUCUCUUAGUCAAUCUCCAUAUCAAAAGAAAAUGGAGUUUAUAAUCUUGUUUUUACUAACCUCGUUAGUACUACUUUAUGAACAAGUUUAUGAUAGACAUUGGACAAAUCUCAAACCUCUAGUGUUUGGUUUUAAGGCCGUCAGCUUUAUGUACUUUCCAUACUAUGACCAUUGUCGAAUCUUUAACAACUUUUUAGAUUUGUAAGUACUUUUUUAUGUUUAGGUAGAAGUUUCAAAACAGGAAGUCUGGCACCAUAGCACGCCUAGGCCUUCAAUUAUUAACUUCAGCAGAAGGGUUGAGGAGGAGGAAUUUUAUUACAGAUACAGAGCUCUAUCAAGAUCCGACCACAACAUUUUACAAGUAAUAUAUUCUCUAGGUUUCUUUUUUUGACAAGUUUUGUUCGAUCCCCUCUCAAGCUUCUAGGAAAUUGAAUUUCCUCUUUUAUUUACACUACAAACUAGGGUAUAGACAAUGCUGUUCAUGUCUUAUUUGUUGGCGGGUAUAAUGUCUGUGGCAAUUGGCCUAAGCUGAAGAAAAAAUUUAUAAAAGGAAGGCUAAUUGUCGCUUGCCAAAAGCUAAUUGAUGUACUUGUGGAAUUUAGUAUGAUAAGACGUUUAUAUCAAUUUUUUUCUCUUUUUUUCUUCUGAAUAGUGGCUUCUUUUGUACAGCCAAUGAAAUGGGAUGCAGUCUUGCUUGGGCGAUACAAAAGUGAUGUUUUUAUAUAUAAUCUAAUUGACAAAAUCAUUUCGACCGCUUAACUGCCUUGUGAUCAAUUUGUAUAUAAAUUGAAUACUAGAUUCCAUGAUAAAAAUUGAUAACUUAAACAUUAAAGGAUGUUCUUCGUGCUUGCUUUCCUACUUGGUUUUGUUGUGCGCAGAAUGCGGAAUCAAGCGCACUAAAUAAUUACAGAAAAAUAAAGGAUACAAAAAUUACGUGGUUCGGCAAUAUGCCUACAUCCACGGGAGCAAGAGAAAAAUAAUUGUAUUAUUAACAAUUAUUUGAGUACAAAUUUUAGUAAAGAAAUCUCACUUUCCCAUAAUUCAAAUACACCCAGUACUCUCACACACACUCUCCAAUUGCUCACACUCUCAGAACUCUCAAAAGCUUAGAAACUUAUAAGCUUAACAAAUUUUUUGGGAUGCAAAAACCUCUCUGAAUGAAGCUCUAUUUAUAGUUAAGCUUCACUGCAAAAAGUCUUAAAGUAGUUGGCAAAAGUCCUGCAAUUUGGUGCCGACUUGAAAAACAAAAGAAAUGCAUGUGGCUCACCUUUUCUUUUUCAACCAAUUUGAAUAAACUCACUGAAAAUCUUUGACUUUUGAACAGGUUUGGUUUUGCUAUCCAAUGUUCUUCCACGAAGGCGUUCGCCGAAGAACAACUAUAGCCUCAAUGUUUCGUGGUUGUUUCUAGCUUGAAUGUUUUUCCAACCCAAAGUUUUACAUUAUCUAAGAAAAGGCGUACGCAUAAGCAUUAUACGAUGAAGGCUGCUUGCUUAAUUUAUAUUGGAAAGAAAGACAACCAUGAUGAUUAGUCUGUCAUAAUGUUUAAUAUCAGAAACAGAGAAAAGAUUAUUUUGCUAAUAUGCAUUUUUCUUAGUUCUAAGACUAUCUAUCAAGAAAAUUGACUUCAUUAAGAUCGUUGCCUUUCAAAGAAUUCAGCAACUGUACAAAAAGCAACUUCGAACAGCCAUUAAAUGCUCUAUUGAAAAAUCAAUAUCAUAGGUCCGCAAGUUUAAUAUUUUCAUACCUGGCAACAGAGAAAAAGAAGGCCAUCAGGUUUCCUUCCCAAGAAUGAACUAUAUAUUAUUCUACUUAAAUGUGAAUUAAUUAGCAAGUUAUAACAGAAAAAAACAAAGAAAAGAUGCCAAAAUGUUGAAGACAGACUGAUAAACUAAAAGGAGACAAGUGGCAAUUAUUUCAUCCAUGUACAAGUAACUGAGAAAAAAACAUACAAUCCCAUCAGGGACAGCGGAGGCCAUCUCCACCAAGAGCUUUCCAUAAUUAAUUUAUAAACAUACAAUCUCAUCAGGCUUUAUGGCGAGUGAAGCUUCACGGCAGCUAAGCUGCAACCGAAACAUUGAACAGAAAAGGAAAAACAUAAAGAGAUCAAUGGAGAUUUUAGCAUAAAAAUUAACAGCUUGUGAAACAAAGAUGACAGCAUAACAAUAUGCACUAUUUUUACAUCAGAAGCCAUAGUAUUGCAUCAGCAGUGGAAGGCGACAACUAACUAAAGAAUGAUGAAACUCAUUUUUCAUAGCAAAAAUAAUGAUAUUGAAUCCAAGCACAAUAAAUAUUAUUAACUUCAGAUAAGCCAUCUAGCUAAAAUAGCAAAAUAAAUAUGUUAGCACUCUAAUAGCUCAAGAUACAGAGCUACCAAAGCACUGCCCAAGAUUUCUUGCUCACAAACUGCCUCAACUAUCAGCUUUAUGCCAGCUGAUAUACACUCCAGUUUACACAGAUUAAAAAGCCACGUGUAUAACGGCCUCAUAACAGAUUUGAUUCCCUUCUCACGUGCGUUUUCACGUGCUUUACUUAAACCAGCUUAAAACGAUCUUGGAUGAUGCCGUUUUAAACAGUAAGUUGAGCACAUGUUUAGCUCGUGACUUCUUGAGGCAUUUGAACCCAAUCUGAAACGCUUCCGUUUAAUCCUUCCAAGUUUUGUAUUUUGUAUUCAGCAGAUUAAUCCACAAAAUCAAAUCUGGAAACCGAACGAAGGCCAUUCAAAUUUUUUCGGAAGACCUUCAAAUUGAACAUUCUGGAGGCAGGGGAAGUAAAACACGUUCCAAAAUUUCGUACCUGUCUGUAAAACCUCCGUCAAAGUAUGAACAAAGUUUGCCCUAUAGCUUUUUCCAUCUUUGUUAUUUUUUACAAGACCAAAACUGGAUAACCGAGGGUUACCAUCCUGCCAUAAAAUGAAAAUUAAUUAAUGAACCUGUACAAUCAAAGGCAUAUGAACAUGCUGAAAAAUAAUAUGAAGCAGCCACAAGUUCCCUGACCUAUAUAUUUCUCCAGUAAUUAAAAUUAUUCUUAUAGAAGCAAUGAAAUGAUUAGCAGACUUUUACCUUUCAGUUUGCGUACAAGCCCCCUUGCCCAUGUAGUCAUCCUCAAUAUUUGCAUGUAGCCAUCCUCACUCUUUGCAUAAAUGUAUUGCAACUCCAGCAACGACGCUAAUCUUGUAAGAACACGAAUGUGUAGCAAUCAAUAGUCAACGCAACUAUUUAUUUCAAAACUCAUGCUUCCUAGAAGAUUUUUUUUUUUCCUUUUUUUUUAAAAAAACUUAAAUUAGCGGGAAAACUUGAGUCUAAAGAUAUAGGUAUUAGACACAUAAUAAAAUCAUGCAAAACCCAUGCUUCCUAAAAGAUUUUUUUUUUUUUUUUUAAGUAACGUGAUACUAACAAAGUCAGUGGCUUAAUAGAAAAAAUUCAAAAUCAACCCACAAAAAAUUCUUAUGCUUCCAUUAUUAACCCAACUGCUAUUCUUAACCCCAACAUUGUUCCUCGACCCCAAAAAUCAUUCGUGGAUGCUGUUUCUGGAUCUACAGCUAAACUGAUUCCAAUCAACCCGGUGUCUCUGGUCCGGGGAGAACCUGCAGUUAUUUUUUCAGCUGAAGAAAUUAAAUCCAUGGCAGAACCUUUCAAAAUGUCCCUAAUAGGUAAGUUCUCUUUUGGCCGACCUUCAAUGGAUAUUAUAAGAAAUUUUUUUGUUUCAUUGGAUUUAAAAGGCAACACCCAAAUUUCAUUACUAUAUCCUCGCCAUAUUUUAAUUAAAUUGCAACUUGAGGAAGAUUAUUCCCGAAUUUGGCUUAGAUAGGCAUGGUACAUUAAUGGAAAGUCCAUGCGCAUUUUUAAGCGGUCAACUUCUUUUAGAUGUUCUGAAGAGUCACCUGUAGUUCUUGUCUGGGUAUCUCUGCCUUAUCUCCCAUUGCAUUUUAUUCAUUGCAAGCCAGCUUUAUUCUCUAUUACUGCAGCCAUCGGUACUCCUCUGCGUGUUGAUCACGCCACAGCCUCAGUUAAUAGGUCAUCAGUUGCUAGAGUUUUGGUUGAGUACGAUGUUUCGCGGCCUUUAUUGCCGCGUAUUUAGAUUGGAGAGGGGGAAAUCGAAUUUUGGCAAGAUGUGGUUUUCGAGAGGGUUCCCAAAUAUUGUAGAUCGUGUAAACAUCUUGGCCACUCAGCUGAUACAUGUUAUGUUUCCAAUCCUGGGCUUCACAAGCCCCAACAGCCAGUUAGCGAGCCUCAUACUAAAGUAAUUAAGGAUAAGAGGAAAAUGCCAGUUUCUACUCAAGAAGUACAACCAUGGGCUCCUACUACAGCUCAGUAUGUGGUGGUUGAUAACAAGCGGCCACAAGGAUCCAAAAUUCAGACUAUAGUCAGCUCAGACCAGAAUAAUUUGGCUCAUACUGUUCCUCUCCCUACGCUCCAGGAUAUCGGAAUGGUUGCUGAUAGAAUUCCAUGUCCCCCAGUUACAGAUUGUGGUGGACCUUCAGAAGGACAGAGAGCUUGUGAGGUGCCUAUAGAUGACCAUUUACAAGUCGGUUUUAACUCCCAUUGCACCGAUAUUCCUGAUUUUGAUGAGAACGGUGAUGGCGGCUUAGGAAGAUCCCGAUUGGAUGGAGAUGCUGUUUCGGAUACAGAGUCUGGAUCUGGCGACGAGGGCCGCUUCUCGACUGACCCUGAUGAGGCUCACACUCCCUUAGCCCGGAUGCGGUGAUUGACAACUUUGAUGGCCAGCGGAUUACUACUCAUUCUAGGGAUUUUUCAUUAGUUACCGGUCGCAGACACCGUAAGACUCAGAGGCGGAUGCGGGAUUCCCCCAUCACCCCAUCAUGAUUCGCUCGCUUAUUUGGAACAUUAGGGGGAUCAGCAAGGCCCCCGCGGUCCGCAGAUUGCGGAAAUUGAUACGAUUGCACAGACUAUCUCUUAUUUGCAUUUUGGAGCCAUUUGUUUCGUCAGAUCAUUUGGAGGAGAUUCGAAUUCGUUUGGGAAUGGACCACGCUCUGUCUUUUCACUCAGGGAAGAUUUGGGUGUUUUGGUCAGCGUUUUUUUUUUGUGGAGCUGUUGCCGGGCAUGGGUCAGGUGAUUCAUUGCCAGGUUAGCCAUUCUCAUUUCUCUGACCCAGUGGUUAUUUCUUAUGUUUAUGCUAGCUGCCUUAUGUCUAUUCGAGAGGAUCUCUGGGAUGCCCUAGUGACAUACUUUCAUAGCCAUGAUCGCCCUUGGAUUGUUGGGGGGGACUUUAAUGUUGUUCAGUCUGUUUCGGAGAUUUCUGGUGGGCAUAACCAACCCCAGGGAGCUAUCGAUGCUUUCAACCUAACAUUGGUGGAUUGUGGGUUGGAGGAUGCUGGGUUCGUUGGUAGCCCAUAUACUUGGACUAAUGGACAUACUUGGAGGCGGCUUGAUCAUGUGGUCUAUAAUGCUCGUUGGUCUGAUUUUUUCUCAUCAUUUCGGGUUACUCACCUAAACCGUACAGCUUUGGACCAUUCUCCUCUGCUCUUUUCCUGUGACAAGGAUGCGACUAAGGGACCUCCCAGAUUUAAAUUUUUGCAUACUUGGCUCAUACAUUGGAAUUUUCCACACUGAAAAAACGAACAACAUUGCAUGCCUAACGAAAAAUUAAAUAAAAAUUGUUUCUAAUUUCGAAUAGCGAGCCCAAAUUUUCUAUUUCCAGAAGAAAUCUUAUGCUGUUUAAAAGUUUCAUAUUAGGAAUCAUUUACUGCUAGUGUCAGUGAAGUCUCCUCAGUGAUCUGCGGUUUCUUCACUCGUGAUCUACCAGACUUGAAACGAUAAUCAUAUAAUGAGAUAAGUAUUAACUGUUAAUUGAACUGUAGAAUCUAAAAAAUGAGUAAACGAAUUACAAAUUAAUUAUGACGAGUUUGUGUAUCCCUUGGAUUAAAAUACCAAGAUUUAUUAGGUCUAUAUAAUUAAUUUGAUAUUUUAAUAUCUUCAAUUUGGUAUAUCAGAAUAUUAAGAUUUAUUGGGUCUUUAUCAAGAGCCGUCGCCAAUCGAUCAUUUCAUGGGGUUUGAUACAGCCACAGAACUAAGAUAAAAUUUCAUUCGCAGACUAUUACGGUUCGUUCACCAUAAAACAAACGAUAUUUUGAAAAGAAAAUUAAGACUCUGGUAGUUAAUUUGUCUCGUAAUUAAUUAAUUAUUGCCGACAAACCAUCACAAAAAUUUUUCAAUUAUUAUUUACUUUUCCAUUUUCUUUAAGAGUGAGACUAUUUACAUUUUAAAAAUUACUUUGAAUAUUUUUUAUUUUGAUAAAUUAUUCUAUUACAAAAAUACCUAUCAUAUGAAUUACUAAUAAAGACUGUAUCUUUUAUAAACUAAUAUAAUAUUAUUACUCUGAACACUCAUAUAGCAUAGUCAAUAUUCAAUAUAUAAUUUCUUGCUAUAAAUUCUAAAAAUCUCAAUCACAAUCUCUUAGAGAAUGUUUAAUUAAACAAGGGGCAAGUCAAUACUUAAAUAUAUUUAGAACAUUUUUUGCUUUUUAAUUUUUUUUAAAAGUAUGUUUUCGUAGUCUUCUCCUUCUUCUUCUUUUUUUGGUGUGGUGGGGGGCGGGGGUUAAAUGGCCCUUUUGUUAGGUUAAAAAGUUGGGGUGUGAAAAUCAAUAUUGUACAUAUUCUUUAAUAGACAAAAACUAAUAACUAAAAUUUAUGUUAAAGAAUUUGUUUAGAACAAAAUUUUAUUCUAUUGUUGUACAUACUAAAUUGUUAUUAAUUCAUUUUGUACAAAAUGCUCGUUUAGUCUCCAUAUUUUAACUUUAGUGCUUAUUUAAUACCUAUAUUUUAAAAAACGCCUCAAGAUACCUAUACUAUUAAAUAUGUUGUACUCUUUUCCUUACUUUUUCUUAGCUUUUACAAUAAUACCCAACAAUAUUUUUUACAUUAAUUUUUUAAUCUAUAAAAAAAGUUAAUUAGCAAAUUAACUAAUAAUUAAACAUCAAUAUGAAACAAGCGGUAUUUUUUAUACCCUUACAAGAAUCUUGUUGAUCAUUAUUUAUAAAUAAAUUAAUAAUAGCCAAUUUAAAGCAAUGUUUAAUAUCCUUUCAACAACAUUACCAAUAAUUUUUUGUUAAAAAAUUAAUUUACUAAAUUAAUCCUAAAUAUAAAAUAAUAGCAACUAAUUUUUAUUUUACUUUUAUGGCUAAUUUAAUAAAUUUAUUUUUUUCAUUAAUAUCUUUAAGAAUAUUGUUGCAAAGAUAUUAUUAUAACAGUGAAGAACAAGCUCAAUUAAAAUAAAUAAUGCAAGCCAGUACUAAAUACCUAUUAUAAUUUUAGAAUAGUUUAUUAAAAUAAAAAGGGAAAAUGACAUCUACACCUCCAAAAUUUGGGACAAAUGUCACCAACACUCCCAAGUUUUCAUAAAGAGGUACCAAGACCCUCUUUUGACCAUAAUAUCCUUUACCUUUAUUAUCCCAAAAAGAUUGACUUUAAUGCUUUACAAUAAAUAGAAACAUAAAAUUAAAUAAAUGUAAUAAUAUAUACAUUUUAAAAUAAUAUCUAAAAAAUAUUUUAAUAUUUUACAAACCAUUAGAUAUAUUUUAUCAUAUUAAACUUAAUAGUCUAAUAAAUAGAAUCAUGAUAUUAAAAUAAAUGUAUUAAAAUCUAAAUUAGUUUAAAUAUUAUGUAAAAUAAUAAUUUUAACAUUGUUAGUAUGUGAUAUUUUUUUUUUGUAAAAUGUAUUUAACGCAAAUAUUCAUUUAAAAACUCUACAAUAAAUAAACAUAUAUUAUUAAAAUAAAUAUAAUAAUUUCAGUAUUAAAAUUUAUUAACAUAUUAAAAUUUUUAAUAUUUUAAUAUUAUUAGUCUACCGCAUAGAUUACAUUAUUUAUUAAAAAAAUUAAUGUUGAUUUUUUGAGAUAAUAGAAACAAAUAAUAUAAUGGUAAAAAAAAAGUCUUGUUGUCCCUCUUUUAAAAUUUAGAAAUAUUAGUAAUUAUUUUUCUAAACUUUGCAUGCGUAAAUAUCCUCUUUGCAAAUAAAAAAUUUAGAAUGUUCAGUACUAAAUAUAAUUACAAAUGCAAAAAAUUGAUUAUGAGGUACAGCAUUAGUUUCUCGCAAUUAACAAAUAUGGUAUCAUUGUAAAAAGGGAAAAUGGUUUUCACAAGAACACAAAAUUUUGCGUAUAGAAGCCGCCUGUUCAUACGUGCAAACACCACACGCACGCAACAUAUCAAGUAGAAAUCUCACGCGUCUUCCUCAUCAAGCAUCAAGAUUCUCGAUCUGUCUCUCCCGUCUCCACGCAAGGUCGGUCUCAGCUUCGUUCUCCGUCACCACGCAGCAACAGUAAGAGGUCUCAGAGGUCUCUCUUGCUCCCUCACUCUCCCUCACUCUCGCAGCCUCGCUGUCUCUCCAUCACCUUCCGGCGCAGUCCGGCGAAGUCCGGCAACUUUCCGGCGAAGUCCGGCAUGUUCCGGCGACCUUCCGGCGAAGCCGACGGUGGUCCAGCGAGGUCCGGUGGUAAUUCCGUCGACAUUCCAGCAAUAUCUACGGUGGUCCGGCGAGAUCCGGUGGUGUUCCGGCGACUUUCCGGUGGAAGACCAUUUAUAAUAUUAAAUCAAUAAAAUAAAAUAAUAAUUAUUAAUAGUUUUAAAUAAGUUAAAAAAUUAAAGGAUAAUUUUAAAAAUUUUAGUUUUUAAUAUAAGAGGAAUUUAAAUUUUUCAUUAAUUAAUAUAAGAGAAAAUUAAAUUUUGUUUUUUUUUUAAAUUUUAGUUUAACAAUAUAAAUUUUUUUAUCUUUAAAUAGAUAAAUUAAUUGAAUUUUAGAUAUCCAUCAAAUAUUCAUACCCAUCUAAUAUCUAAUUGGAUAUUUUUAAAAAUAUCAAUAUCCAUAUUUAAAAAAAUUUUAAAUAGAUAUUAUUCAAUCUAAUUAGAUUAGAUAUAUGGAUAUCUCAUUUGAAUGGAUCAAUUUACCAUCCCUAUUAGAGAUUCAUCCAGAUCCAGGCACGCAACAGACAAAUGAAAUGAUAUUUUGAAAAGAAAAUUAAUUUGUCUUGUAAUUAAUUAUUGCCGGCAAACUUUAUCUCAAAUCGCACACUUCUUUUCAAUAUUAUCUACUUUUCUAGACUCUACGAUUACUGUCUACAUUUUUCAAUGAAUUAUUGCUCGGUAACUAGUUUUUUUACAAUCAUUUAUUUAGCGGACCAGACAGUGUUUCGGACUAAUUGCAAUCAUUUAACUAUAUAUGGCCGUUAAUCGUACCCAGCCAUUGCGCGAAAAAACAUCAGCCGUUGAUCGUUUAUCUGCACCAUUUUAUAAGAUUUAUAAUAUUUUACUUAUAAAUCAUGAUCUUUAUGGAUUUCUCCACUGAAUGGAGAUGUUUGUGAUUUAUUUGUCAAUUUAAAAGUUUCAACAGUAUCUCAAUGUUGUGCAUUUCAGUUAAUUGGUUAAGGUAAUCUAGUGUAUUUUCAUGAUUUUUAUUCCUAAAUUCAUCAUUACACAUUAUUUCAACAACCUAUCUACUUUGGGGUGUCAAGACCUCGUAGGAAUAAGUGAUCAAUCGCCAAGUUUCAAAAACAUGUUGUGGACAUAUGUUAAGCAAUUCUUUAAACCUGUCCCAAUAUUGGUAUAAUGUUUCUCCAUUUUUUUUUAGUGAAAGAAGUGAUUUGCCUUUUAAAAUAAUUGGUUUUAUGAGAUGGAAAGAAAAUUUUCAAAAGUUGUUCUUGCAUGUUAUUCCAAGUUCUUAUUGAUCAUAUCUAAGGUUUUGUAUCCAAGUUUUAGCUUUAUCUUUUAAUGAAAAAGGAAAAAGGUUUAACCUAAUUAUGUUCAUGCUAUAAUUAGCAAAUUAACUAAUAAUUAAACAUCAAUAUGAAACAAGCGGUAUUUUUUAUACCCUUACAAGAAUCUUGCUGAUCAUUAUUUAUAAAUAAAUUAAUAAUAGCCAAUUUAAAGUAAUGUUUAAUAUCCUUUCAACAACAUUACCAAUAAUUUUUUGUUAAAAAAUUAAUUUACUAAAUUAAUCCUAAAUAUAAAAUAAUAGCAACUAAUUUUUAUUUUACUUUUAUGGCUAAUUUAAUAAAUUUAUUUUUUCAUUAAUAUCUUUAAGAAUAUUGUUGCAAAGAUAUUAUUAUAACAGUGAAGAACAAGCUCAAUUAAAAUAAAUAAUGCAAGCCAGUACUAAAUACCUAUUAUAAUUUUAGAAUAGUUUAUUAAAAUAAAAAGGGAAAAUGACAUUUACACCUCCAAAAUUUGGGAAAAAUGUCACCAACACUCCCAAGUUUUCAUAAAGAGGAACCAAGACCCUCUUUUGACCAUAAUAUCCUUUACCUUUAUUAUCCCAAAAAGAUUGACUCUAAUGCUUUACAAUAAAUAGAAACAUAAAAUUAAAUAAAUGUAAUAAUAUAUACAUUUUAAAAUAAUAUCUAAAAAAUAUUUUAAUAUUUUACAAACCAUUAGAUAUAUUUUAUCAUAUUAAACUUAAUAGUCUAAUAAAUAGAAUCAUGAUAUUAAAAUAAAUGUAUUAAAAUCUAAAUUAGUUUAAAUAUUAUGUAAAAUAAUAAUUUUAACAUUGUUAGUAUGUGAUUUUUUUUAUUUGUAAAAUGUAUUUAACGCAAAUAUUCAUUUAAAAACUCUACAAUAAAUAAACAUAUAUUAUUAAAAUAAAUAUAAUAAUUUCAGUAUUAAAAUAUUAAAAUUUUUAAUAUUUAAUAUUAUUAGUCUACCGCAUAGAUUACAUUAUUUAGAUAUAUUUUUAUUUAUUAAAAAAUUUAAUGUCGAUUUUUUGAGAUAAUAGAAACAAAUAAUAUAAUGGUAAAAAAAAUCUUGAUGUCGCUCUUUUAAAAUUUAGAGAUAUUAGUAAUUAUUUUUCUAAACUUUGCAUGCGUAAAUAUCCUUUUUGCAAAUAAAAAAUUUAGAAUGUUCAGUACUAAAUAUAAUUACAAAUGCAAAAAAUUAAUUAUGAGGUACAGCAUCAGUUUCUCGCAACGUCACAACUACUCACUUUGGCACCGUAGGCGACUUGAUCUCUAUAUAUCAUGCCAAAUCAGAAGCAAGAACUCGCUCAAGUACUUAUUUUUUAAUAUAGUGCACUCGAAGCUAGCAAAGAUCUUUUCUGACUUGAAGAAUAUGAAAACUCUUGCUGGCGCAGGUAUUUAGGCCUACUUCAGUUUCUUUUUUGAGAAGGGCCAACUUCAGUUGAAUAUCAUUUAUAAUUCUUUUUUUAAUAUAUGCAUUUAUGAAUAUAUUUUUCAAUAUAAAAUUUUUAGGUAUGAGCGAUCCGUCAGAAGGUUUGGGAACCCUUUUCAGUAUUGCUGAUGAUGAUGUUGGGAAUGACAAUCUUAAUCUUAUUGUUAUUCCUCAAUAUGGGAGAAAUCCUGAUUAUUAUGGGUAAGUGUCUGCAAUCUGGAUGAUGAUAUAUGUAAUUAAAUAAAAGGAUGGGUACAGUUAUUACCUAUCAAUCAUAAGAGUGUCAAUUUAGUUCAGUUCACUUAUAAAAAUCUCUUAUACAAGAGAUUAUCUUUGUUUGCGUUCAUGUACUUUGUCUUCUUUAAUUAAUAAAUAAAAUUAUUGUGUAUCAAUGUGUUGAUUAAAUUAGUCCAUUAAUAGAUAUAAAAUCAUUUGAAUUUGUCCACAUAUUAGUUUAGUUAAUUGAGCUCUCUUUCUUCUUGAAUAUUUGUUAAACAAAGUCUACCUAUUAGUUAGCUAAAAAUUGCAGCUCGCAGGGAACCAAGAUCUUUAUAAUUAAUUACGAACGUUUAUGCUUCUUAAAUGGCUUGUGUCAUCGUGAUAAUGCCAUUACAACCAGUUAUAUAUAUAUAUAUAUAUAUAUAUAUAUAUAUAUAUAUAUAUAUGUAUGUAUGUAUAUAUUCAAAAGCAUUCCAACUCUAUGAACCUUCUAUUACACAAUUUUCAUAUGGUAUAAACAUCUAUUUUAAUUAGAGUAAAAUGUUGCUUGUUAGAAUGGCCCGUGAGUCAAUCUAAUUUGCGCCGGGACAAAUUAAUAAAACUUUAAUGGGGUUUGAUCACUUAAUGGGGUUUGAUACAGCCACAAAAUUAAGAUAAAGUUUCAAAGACAUACUAUUACAGGUUCAUCCACCAUAAAACAAAUGAUAUUUUGAAAAGAAAAUUAAGACCCUAUUGGUUAAUUUGCCUCAUAGUUAAUUAUUGUCGACAAGACAUCGCAAACUUUCUUCAAUUAUUAUCAACUUUUCUAAAAAAAUCUUUAAUGAUAAAACUAUUUACACUCUAAAAAUGAUUCUUUAACACUUUUAUUUUAAUAAAUUAUUUUAUUAUAAAAAUACUCAUCAUAUGAAUUAUUGACAAAGAUUCUCUCUUAUAGGCUAAAAUAAUAUAAUUAUUCUGAAUACUCAUACAACAUACUCACUAUUCAAUAUAUAAUUUCUCUUGUCAUAAAUUCUAAAAAUCUUAUUUUCAAUCUCUUGAAUAAUGUUUAAUUAAACAAGGAGCAAAUCAAUCCUAAAAAUACAUUUUGAACAUAUUUUUUCUUGUUAAUUUAAAAAAAAGUAGUUUUUUUUUUUUAAAUAAGCGUUUAAUUCAGAAGAUGCAGGCUUGGAGUUAUGAUUUUGGAUGUAGAGAAGAGUUGAUCGGAGAUGAGAAACGGCGGCAGCAAGCUUAUUGAACCGCCGUUCUGAGAAGAAGAGUUUGCUUUUUGCUGUUUCGAGUGGAAUGUCACUUAAUAAUCGAAACAGGGUUCUUUUUUUUUUUUUUAAUACCUAAAGCUUUAUGGUUUAUGCUUAGUAACAAAAAAAAAAAGUCAAAUAUCAGUUGUCUCUAUAACUAACAGUGAGCAAGAUUCGAUUUUGAAAAAUCUUGUACCAAUUUGCUUUUGUGCUAUUUUAUAUUCAAUUGACGAAAGAAUUACUGCUG
This 43269-nucleotide long non-coding RNA is filed under the name Citrus maxima (pomelo). Its description in RNAcentral is "long non-coding RNA (CMAX_LNC001716)". Lineage: Eukaryota; Viridiplantae; Streptophyta; Magnoliopsida; Sapindales; Rutaceae. The record is from RNAcentral.